RNAcentral lists this ribosomal RNA (406 nucleotides) under uncultured bacterium. RNAcentral describes it as "bacterial SSU rRNA". It matches the Rfam family "Bacterial small subunit ribosomal RNA", at positions 355 to 776 of the family's 1533-position model. The record is from RNAcentral.
UCAAGAAUAUUCCUCAAUGGCCGAAAGGCUGAAGGAGCGACGCCGCGUGCAGGAUGAAGGCCUUCGGGUCGUAAACUGCUUUUAUAUGGGACGAAUUCGUGACGGUACCAUAUGAAUAAGAGGUUGCUAACUCUGUGCCAGCAGCAGCGGUAAUACAGAGACCUCAAGCGUUAUCCGGAUUUAUUGGGCGUAAAGCGUCCGCAGGUGGCUUGGCCAGUCGGGGGUUAAAACUCAACGCUCAACGUUGGGACUGCCUCCGAUACUACUAAGCUAGAGGGUGGGAGAGGUAAGCGGAAUCCUCGGUGUAGUCGUAAUAAGCGUUGAUAUCGAGAAGAACACCAAAUGCGAAGGCAGCUUACUGGAACACACCUGACACUCAGGGACGAAAGCGUGGGGAGCAAACAGG